Molecule: non-coding RNA, 1648 nt
Organism: Misgurnus anguillicaudatus (oriental weatherfish)
Lineage: Eukaryota; Metazoa; Chordata; Actinopteri; Cypriniformes; Cobitidae
Source: RefSeq, a predicted model, not a curated record
GGAAGAAUUAAUAACAUGCAACGACCGUACUAUAGCCAACUUAUUAAAUGAUGAUCCAAAAUCAGGAAGUCAAAUGCAGUUUGAGAUUUAUUAAGAAUAAUGUGAUAAUAAUAUAGGAUAUAGAAGAGGUAGGCUUGAUCAUUAUUUUCACACUCCAUCACAGCAGGUGGCGGUAUGCAUCUUUAAAAUUGGUUCGUAACCUGCCAUUAAACUAAAAGAAGAAGAUGAAGAUUGUAACGUCAGCUGAGGUGGCUCAUCGUAAGCAUUAGUGAUCCAAGCACUACGUCGAGUUUGCCGUAAGCUUACCUCAUAGCCAUCAUAAGCCAGGUACGCUGACGGAAGGGUAACGUAACCACACGGAAGAGCCAAACACAAAAGAAGCAGCAGUAACAACAGAAGACAGUUUGGUCAGAUUAUUUACCUAGUAUUUAUUCACAAGAUUGACCGAAGCUGAUUUAGAUGACCAAAUUAUGAACAUUGUGACCCACCCUGAGGCUGUAAGAGUGUGCCUGAUGAGAGAAUGCAUACUUUUGUAGGACUUAUACUUUUAUAAGGAGUAAUAGGACUUAAUAUACUCAAGAAGACCAAGCGAUCCUUAAGGGACUGUACAUGCUGGACUUACAGGUACUUUAAAAAAAAAAAACGUAUUAUUCUUCUUAACUUAAACAUGCAUGCUUAUUCUUUCUGCUAUUGCCUGUUUUAUUAUUAGUAAACAGUUUUGUUUUAAAUUGUUAAAAUAUUUUUAUCCUUUUUCAGAUGAUAUUUUUGUUAAAGAUUUGUAUUAUCUACAUGUCAUGUCUGUGUUUAUUUCAAGUGCAAACAGUAGAACUGUCACAAAUGAAUAUAUCUAUGACUUUGCACCUGCACUUAAUGUAGACAUUUUUAAGCAUUUAAGGUCAAAAUCAGAGUGCAACUUUUACUUUUCAUACUAAAUGAAAUUUUCAGCCCCAAACAGCACUUGAUUACAGAAGAGUUUUCACUUGUUAACCUGACUGAUACAACAACCAUCACACCAAACAUUCCAAAACCUGUUUCUGUCUAAUGAAACAAUCAAUGAAUUUGGGCAACCAGUAUCUGAUUGAAUACUAUAGCUAAAAGUGUGUCAUGAUUUUGGUCUGAUCGGUUGUUGCUGUUUAUAUGUUUGUACGCUGUGUGUUUUGUCUUUGUUUUGACAGGUGGCCAUGCACAUACCAGUCAUUGUCUUAAGCCCAGGAUACACUGCAGGAUUUUUGCUCUCCUAUAAUAUCAUUACUUUAUCACACAGUGCGACACGGAUCAUUUAAACGUGGGUACGACAAGCAUAGACUGUACAAUGAUGACACCUAUUGACUCAUAGGUUGUGACGACUGUGACUCCAGUUAAGUGCAAUGUCACCAGCAUGCGCUAGUGGUAAACAAAUACUGGUACGCUGGUCGAUAUAGGUCCACCGAAGAGCCACAAUCACAGAAAUUGCCACAAAUGUUUCACGAUGGUAAUCUUUCGUUUGUGACCGCCAAAAAUUAUGCAGUGUAUCCCGGGCUAUAUCCUCCCCUCCCUCUAGUCAUCUCAUUAAUUAUGAAAUGCACUGUCAGUGCUUGUUCUUUCUGACUCCUCUCUGUUCUCUCCAGAUUGAGCCCUGAUGCCAUCUGCCCCGUUCUCCCAGCCUCAU